UGUGAGCUCGAUGAGUAGGGCGGGACACGUGGUAUCCUGUCUGAAUAUGGGGGGACCAUCCUCCAAGGCUAAAUACUCCUGACUGACCGAUAGUGAACCAGUACCGUGAGGGAAAGGCGAAAAGAACCCCGGCGAGGGGAGUGAAAAAGAACCUGAAACCGUGUACGUACAAGCAGUGGGAGCCUCUUUUAUGGGGUGACUGCGUACCUUUUGUAUAAUGGGUCAGCGACUUAUAUUCUGUAGCAAGGUUAACCGAAUAGGGGAGCCGAAGGGAAACCGAGUCUUAACCGGGCGUUAAGUUGCAGGGUAUAGACCCGAAACCCGGUGAUCUAGCCAUGGGCAGGUUGAAGGUUGGGUAACACUAACUGGAGGACCGAACCGACUAAUGUUGAAAAAUUAGCGGAUGACUUGUGGCUGGGGGUGAAAGGCCAAUCAAACCGGGAGAUAGCUGGUUCUCCCCGAAAGCUAUUUAGGUAGCGCCUCGUGAAUUCAUCUCCGGGGGUAGAGCACUGUUUCGGCAAGGGGGUCAUCCCGACUUACCAACCCGAUGCAAACUGCGAAUACCGGAGAAUGUUAUCACGGGAGACACACGGCGGGUGCUAACGUCCGUCGUGAAGAGGGAAACAACCCAGACCGCCAGCUAAGGUCCCAAAGUCAUGGUUAAGUGGGAAACGAUGUGGGAAGGCCCAGACAGCCAGGAUGUUGGCUUAGAAGCAGCCAUCAUUUAAAGAAAGCGUAAUAGCUCACUGGUCGAGUCGGCCUGCGCGGAAGAUGUAACGGGGCUAAACCAUGCACCGAAGCUGCGGCAGCGACACUGUGUGUUGUUGGGUAGGGGAGCGUUCUGUAAGCCUGUGAAGGUGUGCUGUGAGGCAUGCUGGAGGUAUCAGAAGUGCGAAUGCUGACAUAAGUAACGAUAAAGCGGGUGAAAAGCCCGCUCGCCGGAAGACCAAGGGUUCCUGUCCAACGUUAAUCGGGGCAGGGUGAGUCGACCCCUAAGGCGAGGCCGAAAGGCGUAGUCGAUGGGAAACAGGUUAAUAUUCCUGUACUUGGUGUUACUGCGAAGGGGGGACGGAGAAGGCUAUGUUGGCCGGGCGACGGUUGUCCCGGUUUAAGCGUGUAGGCUGGUUUUCCAGGCAAAUCCGGAAAAUCAAGGCUGAGGCGUGAUGACGAGGCACUACGGUGCUGAAGCAACAAAUGCCCUGCUUCCAGGAAAAGCCUCUAAGCAUCAGGUAACAUCAAAUCGUACCCCAAACCGACACAGGUGGUCAGGUAGAGAAUACCAAGGCGCUUGAGAGAACUCGGGUGAAGGAACUAGGCAAAAUGGUGCCGUAACUUCGGGAGAAGGCACGCUGAUAUGUAGGUGAAGUCCCUCGCGGAUGGAGCUGAAAUCAGUCGAAGAUACCAGCUGGCUGCAACUGUUUAUUAAAAACACAGCACUGUGCAAACACGAAAGUGGACGUAUACGGUGUGACGCCUGCCCGGUGCCGGAAGGUUAAUUGAUGGGGUCAGCGCAAGCGAAGCUCUUGAUCGAAGCCCCGGUAAACGGCGGCCGUAACUAUAACGGUCCUAAGGUAGCGAAAUUCCUUGUCGGGUAAGUUCCGACCUGCACGAAUGGCGUAAUGAUGGCCAGGCUGUCUCCACCCGAGACUCAGUGAAAUUGAACUCGCUGUGAAGAUGCAGUGUACCCGCGGCAAGACGGAAAGACCCCGUGAACCUUUACUAUAGCUUGACACUGAACAUUGAGCCUUGAUGUGUAGGAUAGGUGGGAGGCUUUGAAGUGUGGACGCCAGUCUGCAUGGAGCCGACCUUGAAAUACCACCCUUUAAUGUUUGAUGUUCUAACGUGGACCCGUGAUCCGGGUUGCGGACAGUGUCUGGUGGGUAGUUUGACUGGGGCGGUCUCCUCCUAAAGAGUAACGGAGGAGCACGAAGGUUGGCUAAUCCUGGUCGGACAUCAGGAGGUUAGUGCAAUGGCAUAAGCCAGCUUGACUGCGAGCGUGACGGCGCGAGCAGGUGCGAAAGCAGGUCAUAGUGAUCCGGUGGUUCUGAAUGGAAGGGCCAUCGCUCAACGGAUAAAAGGUACUCCGGGGAUAACAGGCUGAUACCGCCCAAGAGUUCAUAUCGACGGCGGUGUUUGGCACCUCGAUGUCGGCUCAUCACAUCCUGGGGCUGAAGUAGGUCCCAAGGGUAUGGCUGUUCGCCAUUUAAAGUGGUACGCGAGCUGGGUUUAGAACGUCGUGAGACAGUUCGGUCCCUAUCUGCCGUGGGCGCUGGAGAACUGAGGGGGGCUGCUCCUAGUACGAGAGGACCGGAGUGGACGCAUCACUGGUGUUCGGGUUGUCAUGCCAAUGGCACUGCCCGGUAGCUAAAUGCGGAAGAGAUAAGUGCUGAAAGCAUCUAAGCACGAAACUUGCCCCGAGAUGAGUUCU
RNAcentral lists this ribosomal RNA (2428 nucleotides) under Escherichia coli. RNAcentral's name for it is "bacterial LSU rRNA". It matches the Rfam family "Bacterial large subunit ribosomal RNA", at positions 398 to 2812 of the family's 2925-position model. The record is from RNAcentral. Lineage: Bacteria; Pseudomonadati; Pseudomonadota; Gammaproteobacteria; Enterobacterales; Enterobacteriaceae.